GAUCAUGGCUCAGGAGUGAACGCUAGCUACAGGCUUAACACAUGCAAGUCGAGGGGUAGCAGGGUAGCAAUACCGCUGACGACCGGCGCACGGGUGAGUAACACGUAUCCAACCUUCCCAUAACUCAGGGAUAGCCUUUCGAAAGAAAGAUUAAUACCUGAUAGUACUUUUUCAAGGCAUCUUGAGAAAGUUAAAGAUUUAUUGGUUAUGGAUGGGGAUGCGUUCCAUUAGAUAGUUGGUGAGGUAACGGCUCACCAAGUCUUCGAUGGAUAGGGGUUCUGAGAGGAAGGUCCCCCACAUUGGUACUGAGACACGGACCAAACUCCUACGGGAGGCAGCAGUGAGGAAUAUUGGUCAAUGGGCGAGAGCCUGAACCAGCCAAGUAGCGUGAAGGAAUGAAGGUCCUAUGGAUUGUAAACUUCUUUUAUAGUAGAAUAAAGUGAUCCACGUGUGGAUUUUUGUAUGUAUACUAUGAAUAAGGAUCGGCUAACUCCGUGCCAGCCGCGGC
Molecule: ribosomal RNA, 508 nt
Filed under: uncultured bacterium
Lineage: Bacteria
Description: bacterial SSU rRNA
Rfam family: Bacterial small subunit ribosomal RNA
Source: RNAcentral